UUAAAGACUAUGAAGAGGACGAGUAGGUUAAGAAUUAUUUUUAUAGAGAAUGAAAGCCAUCGGUUGGAAGCUUUCUAAAAUAAUUUAACUGAAAACCACCUCUGAGUUGGUUCCAGAAAGUUAUGCGAGUAUGGUAACCCGGAAAAUAUAAUUUCGUUAUUUAAAAGGAGAUUAUCUAAUUAGUAAAAUUUUUAAGCAAUUUAUUAAUAAAUUAGAUAAACUAGAGUGGAAUCGCGAAUAAUACCUUUCGUCUCUAAA
This 258-nucleotide non-coding RNA is filed under the name Selenihalanaerobacter shriftii. RNAcentral describes it as "T-box sequence". It matches the Rfam family "T-box leader". Rfam says of the family: Uncharged tRNA acts as the effector for transcription antitermination of genes in the T-box leader family. Lineage: Bacteria; Bacillati; Bacillota; Clostridia; Halanaerobiales; Halobacteroidaceae. The record is from RNAcentral.